Long non-coding RNA from Metopolophium dirhodum (rose-grain aphid), 213 nucleotides. RefSeq lists it as uncharacterized. The record is from RefSeq and is a predicted model, not a curated record. NCBI's taxonomy places the organism in Eukaryota, Metazoa, Arthropoda, Insecta, Hemiptera, Aphididae. The transcript has 4 exons.
UUAUCAUUUUUAUUGUUUUCUUAUAUAAAUUCAAAAUGGUUUUUUUUAAACAUAGUUUAAUGACGUUUACAAUUCUAGGUAUUGCAAUUUGGGUUAUGCCUGCAGCUACUUCAAAUCAAAAAGUACAAAAGUUAAAAGAUUCUUGUGAAGGUAUUCUAAGAGUUAUCGGAUUCGAAGAUACAUAUGAUGAUUAUAACAUAACAAAUUUUAAAA